This 1300-nucleotide unclassified non-coding RNA is filed under the name Bombus terrestris (buff-tailed bumblebee). Its description in RNAcentral is "misc RNA ENSBTSG00005028466.1". The record is from RNAcentral. Lineage: Eukaryota; Metazoa; Arthropoda; Insecta; Hymenoptera; Apidae.
UGUAUAUAUAUAUGUCGGAGAUGAAAGGACAUCGGGGCCUUUCCUUUGGAAUGUUUGGAAGGUUCUCAAUACUUUAGUCCCGACUUUUUAUUAUAGCUGUACUUAAAUAAUAAAACUGAGAAAUAGUUGUUUUGGUGAUUUAAUCCGAGUAUGGGUGCCCGAGAUUUGUGACAGUGGGCUUGGGCUCGAAGUGACAUAACGGGUCGCUGAACGUAGCCACGGUCAAGGGAGGGACGUGUAUCUAAUAGAGGUAUGAAGUAAUUAUAUAGCUCUCCUUAAAAAUAAAGAUUGACCCGUGGGUUCCACUUGGAUUAACAUUCAGUCAGAUAAGUUCUACUUGUACUGUGGACAAGUACGUUAAGUCACAGCAGAAUCGCGGAUCAAAUCGCAUUCGUCAUCCCAUUGAUCGUGGAUUCGUUAUCGAACCUAAAUUCAUUUUCAUCGACAUCUCGAUUAUACAAUCGCCGCCAUUACUCGUUAAACUCUGUAAUAAUCACAUUUGUAUCAGUAAAUACCAUCUAUAGUACAUAACAACAACGACCAAUUCACGUGAAGAUUCGUUAUACGCCCCUAACUCUAAUAAGAACCCGACAUAUAUGUAGUAUCGUCGACAAAAGGCCUAAGAUAUCUGCCAAACCAUAAACAAUGCCGCGAGAGCCGCGGCAUCGUCGGGUACAUCAAUGUGUCGUCGGUCUUCUUUUUAAGUGGAUAGUUUUGUGGAAAGGGCCUGCGUGACCCUGGCCACGGGCGUUUCGGGACACGUGUCUCGAACGACGGGAAAAGACAAAGAGACGUUAAAGGCAGUGUUAGUUGAGAAGCCGGAGAAGACGGAUGCAAAAGGUGUGCAGAGUGUGAGUUGAGAAGCGAGAGCGAGCGAGUGUAGAAGCCGGAGAGUGUGAAUCGGGAAGUCGAAAGCCGCGUAUGAAAAUAAGACGUACGACAGCAUUGUAAUCAUUUCGUUGCUUCGAAUAUUAUUAAUUAAAUCAAAACAUCAUUACAUGUCCUUUCCUCUAAGACCCAUUAAGAUACUACAUAUAUAUGUGACGAUUUUCGUCCACGAGACGUUCUCGAACUAAAUGAAACAGAGAACAUCUUAUCAUAGUAACGAAAAUAGACAUGUGCUUCAUCGGAGUGGAAGAAAUUGAGAAGGAAGAUACUUUUAUCGACGACUAGGAUUCGUGUAUGUCCACCUUUAUCAACACUAAUCACAAGCUUCUGUUGCUACUUUCCCCUCUGCUUUUCGUCGUCUGCACACUCACCCCGAGCAGUGCGCUUGAUUGUCUCCAAAACAAUCGAUAAA